UGUUAUGAAAAUGACGCGGGUUCCAAAACAUAGAUGAGAGUAUUUUUACUCUGUAUACAGAAAGACACCAACAGUUUCCUAUUUCAACCACGGGGAAGCACCAUAUUCAGCGUGCCUAAGUUCAUUUCUCUGACGUAACUCAAGGGGAAAUUUACGCAUGUCUCAGUGACGCACAGACAAGACUACUUCGCCGGAGACGUGCAAUUAUGCCUUUCCUCUCUGAUGAGAUACGCUUGGGAACUGUUUAAUCACGAGAAGUGUAUGACGUCAUUUGCAACGAUUACACAAGCAAAGUCAUUUGUUGAACGAGUGAAUUUCUAAGCAAGAAUCUCUUAUCAGAAAAGCAGGAUAAAGGCGUUUCUGAGGUAAACCAUGGUUGUUAUAGUCGACGGACUAGAUGAGAGGGUUAAAUGUUCGAUCUGUGGGAGCAUUUUCGACGAGCCACGAAAAACGUCAUAUGGACUUCGCUUUUGUAGAAACUGUCUCUUCGGCCGAAAAUUAGAAUAUUUAUUCAGUGGAAAGCUGA
This is a long non-coding RNA of Pocillopora damicornis (cauliflower coral), 526 nucleotides long. Lineage: Eukaryota; Metazoa; Cnidaria; Anthozoa; Scleractinia; Pocilloporidae. The record is from RefSeq and is a predicted model, not a curated record.